Molecule: ribosomal RNA, 468 nt
Filed under: uncultured bacterium
Lineage: Bacteria
Description: partial 16S ribosomal RNA
Rfam family: Bacterial small subunit ribosomal RNA
Source: RNAcentral
GAUGAACGCUGGCGGCGUGCUUAACACAUGCAAGUCGAACGGAAAGGCCCAAGCUUGCUUGGGUACUCGAGUGGCGAACGGGUGAGUAACACGUGGGUGAUCUGCCCUGCACUUCGGGAUAAGCCUGGGAAACUGGGUCUAAUACUGGAUAGGACCACUUCUUGGAUGGUGUGGUGGAAAGUUUUUUCGGUGUGGGAUGAGCUCGCGGCCUAUCAGCUUGUUGGUGGGGUAAUGGCCUACCAAGGCGUCGACGGGUAGCCGGCCUGAGAGGGUGUACGGCCACAUUGGGACUGAGAGACGGCGCAGACUCCUACGGGGGGCAGAAGUGGGGAAUAUUGCACAAUGGGCGCAAGCCUGAUGCAGCGACGCCGCGUGGGGGAUGACGGCGUUCGGGUUGUAAACUCCUUUCGCUAGGGACGAAGCGUUUUUGUGACGGUACCUGGAGAAGAAGCACCGGCUAACUACGUG